RNAcentral lists this ribosomal RNA (1493 nucleotides) under uncultured bacterium. RNAcentral describes it as "bacterial SSU rRNA". It matches the Rfam family "Bacterial small subunit ribosomal RNA". The record is from RNAcentral.
GUUUACACAUGCAAGCCGCACGGAGGCGAUAGAAUUGAAGCUUCGGUUGAUAUUUUAGGCGUCUAGUGGCGGACGGGUGAGUAAUGCUUAGGAAUUUGCCCAGUUGAGGGGGACAACAGUUGGAAACGACUGCUAAUACCGCAUACUACCCUACGGGGGAAAGAGGGGGCUCUUCGGACCUCUCGCAAUUGGAGAAGCCUAAGUGAGAUUAGCUAGUUGGUAAGGUAAAGGCUUACCAAGGCGACGAUCUCUAGCUGGUUUGAGAGGAUGAUCAGCCACACUGGGACUGAGACACGGCCCAGACUCCUACGGGAGGCAGCAGUGGGGAAUAUUGCACAAUGGGGGAAACCCUGAUGCAGCCAUGCCGCGUGUGUGAAGAAGGCCUUAGGGUUGUAAAGCACUUUCAGCGAGGAGGAAAGAGAAUAAGUUAAUACCUUAUUCUUGUGACGUUACUCGCAGAAGAAGUACCGGCUAACUCCGCGCCAGCAGCCGCGGUAAUACGGAGGGUACGAGCGUUAAUCGGAAUUACUGGGCGUAAAGCGCAUGCAUGUGGUAUGUUUAAGUCAGAUGUGAAAUCCCCGGGGCUCAACCUCGGAACUGCAUUUGAUACUGACAAAACUAGAGUCUUGUAGAGGGAAAGUAGAAUUUCAGGUGUAACCGGUGGAAUGCGUUAGAGAUCUGAAGGAAUACCCAGUGGCGAAAGGCGGCUUCCUGGACAAAGACUGACACUCCAGAUGCGAAAGCGUGGGGAGCAAACCAGGAUUAGAUACCCCUGGUAGUUCCACGCCGUAAACGAUGUCUAUUUAGAAGUCUGUGAUCUUGAAUCGUUGGGUUUCAAAGCUAACGCAUUAAAUAGACCGCCUGGGGAGUACGGCCGCAAGGUUAAAACUCAAAUGAAUUGACGGGGGCCCGCACAAGCGGUGGAGCAUGUGGUUUAAUUCGAUGCAACGCGAAGAACCUUACCUACUCUUGACAUCCAAAGAAUCCUUUAGAGAUAGAGGAGUGCCUUCGGGAACUUUGAGACAGGUGCUGCAUGGCUGUCGUCAGCUCGUGUUGUGAAAUGUUGGGUUAAGUCCCGCAACGAGCGCAACCCUUAUCCUAUGUUGCCAUCAAGUAAAGUUGGGGACUCAUGGGAGACUGCCGGUGAUAAACCGGAGGAAGGUGGGGACGACGUCAAGUCAUCAUGGCCCUUACGAGUAGGGCUACACACGUGCUACAAUGGGCAGUACAAAGGGUUGCAAACCAGCGAUGGUAAGCUAAUCUCAUAAAGCUGCUCGUAGUCCGGAUUGGAGUCUGCAACUCGACUCCAUGAAGUCGGAAUCGCUAGUAAUCGUGAAUCAGAAUGUCACGGUGAAUACGUUCCCGGGCCUUGUACACACCGCCCGUCACACCAUGGGAGUGGGUUGCACCAGAAGUAGAUAGCUUAACCUUCGGGAGGGCGUUUACCACGGUGUGAUUCAUGACUGGGGUGAAGUCGUAACAAGAUGACCGUA